GACGAACGCUGGCGGCGUGCCUAAUACAUGCAAGUCGAACGCACAGUUUAUACCGUAGCUUGCUACACCAUAGACUGUGAGUUGCGAACGGGUGAGUAACGCGUAGGUAACCUGCCUGGUAGCGGGGGAUAACUAUUGGAAACGAUAGCUAAUACCGCAUAAUAUUAAUUAUUGCAUGAUAAUUAAUUGAAAGGUGCAAUUGCACCACUACCAGAUGGACCUGCGUUGUAUUAGCUAGUAGGUGAGGUAACGGCUCACCUAGGCGACGAUACAUAGCCGACCUGAGAGGGUGAUCGGCCACACUGGGACUGGGACACGGCCCAGACUCCUACGGGAGGCAGCAGUAGGGAAUCUUCGGCAAUGGACGAAAGUCUGACCGAGCAACGCCGCGUGAGUGAAGAAGGUUGUCGGAUCGUAAAGCUCUGUUGUAAGAGAAGAACGGGUGUGAGAGUGGAAAGUUCACACUGUGACGGUAGCUUACCAGAAAGGGACGGCUAACUACGUG
Molecule: ribosomal RNA, 505 nt
Filed under: uncultured bacterium
Lineage: Bacteria
Description: partial 16S ribosomal RNA
Rfam family: Bacterial small subunit ribosomal RNA
Source: RNAcentral